CUACCUGCAGUCGCACGAGAAAGGGGAGCAAUCCCUGAAGUACAGUGGCGUACGGGUGAGUAACACGUGGAUGAUCUACCUUCUAGUGGGGAAUAACCAUGGGAAACCGUGGCUAAUACCGCAUAAGCUCGAGAGAGGAAAGCAGCAAUGCGCUGGAAGAGGAGUCCGCGGCCGAUUAGCUAGUUGGCAGGGUAAAAGCCUACCAAGGCAGAGAUCGGUAGCCGGCCUGAGAGGGCACACGGCCACACUGGCACUGAAACACGGGCCAGACUCCUACGGGAGGCAGCAGUGGGGAAUCUUGCACAAUGGGGGAAACCCUGAUGCAGCGACGCCGCGUGAGCGAUGAAGCCCUUCGGGGUGUAAAGCUCUUUCGGCAGGGAAGAUUAUGACGGUACCUGCAGAAGCAGCUGCGGCUAACUACGUGCCAGCAGCCGCGGUAAUACGUAGGCAGCGAGCGUUGUUCGGAGUUACUGGGCGUAAAGGGUGUGUAGGCGGUUGUUUAAGUUUGGUGUGAAAUCUCCCGGCUCAACUGGGAGGGUGCGCCGAAUACUGAAUGACUUGGAGUGCGGGAGAGGUGAGUGGAAUUCCUGGUGUAGCGGUGAAAUGCGUAGAUAUCAGGAGGAACACCGGUGGUGUAGACGGCUCACUGGACCGUAACUGACGCUGAGACACGAAAGCGUGGGUAGCAAACAGGAUUAGAUACCCUGGUAGUCCACGCCCUAAACGAUGCAUAUUUGGUGUGGGCAGUUCAUUCUGUCCGUGCCGGAGCUAACGCGUUAAAUAUGCCGCCUGGGGAGUACAGUCGCAAGGCUGAAACUCAAAGGAAUUGACGGGGGCCCGCACAAGCGGU
Molecule: ribosomal RNA, 850 nt
Filed under: uncultured bacterium
Lineage: Bacteria
Description: bacterial SSU rRNA
Rfam family: Bacterial small subunit ribosomal RNA
Source: RNAcentral